RNAcentral lists this ribosomal RNA (466 nucleotides) under uncultured bacterium. RNAcentral's name for it is "partial 16S ribosomal RNA". It matches the Rfam family "Bacterial small subunit ribosomal RNA", at positions 28 to 507 of the family's 1533-position model. The record is from RNAcentral.
GAUGAACGCUGGCGGCGUGCUUAACACAUGCAAGUCGAACGGAAAGGCCACAGCUUGCUGUGGUACUCGAGUGGCGAACGGGUGAGUAACACGUGGGUGAUCUGCCCUGUACUUCGGGAUAAGCUUGGGAAACUGGGUCUAAUACCGGAUAGGAAUCACAGGUGGGUGUGUGGUUGGAAAGCUUUUGCGGUAUGGGAUGAGCUCGCGGCCUAUCAGCUUGUUGGUGGGGUAAUGGCCUACCAAGGCGUCGACGGGUAGCCGGCCUGAGAGGGUGUACGGCCACAUUGGGACUGAGAUACGGCCCAGACUCCUACGGGAGGCAGCAGUGGGGAAUAUUGCACAAUGGGCGCAAGCCUGAUGCAGCGACGCCGCGUGGGGGAUGACGGCCUUCGGGUUGUAAACUCCUUUCGUCAGGGACGAAGCGAAAGUGACGGUACCUGGAUAAGAAGCACCGGCUAACUACGUG